This 1189-nucleotide unclassified non-coding RNA is filed under the name Hevea brasiliensis (rubber tree). The record is from RNAcentral. Lineage: Eukaryota; Viridiplantae; Streptophyta; Magnoliopsida; Malpighiales; Euphorbiaceae.
GUCACCAUAGCAUCAAUGAGAUAUCUUGUUACAAUUAUAAAGGCAGAGAAGUUGGGGAGGAAGCAUUACAGUUAAAGAUAUAAAUAUAAUUAAAUUAAAGAAAAAGACAUAAUAUUUAGCUAGGGAAGGAUAUAAUGGUUAGCAGCAUCAAAUUUUGUGGCCAAAGUAGGAAUGAGCAUCUGGGAAAUUGUGCCAUAAAUUUGUGUGUAUGUAGUAUCCAUAUUUGAUGAUACUACCUAAAAAUGGUGAAAUAGGUGAGGAAAAAAAAAACUAAGAAUUAAACAAUAAAAACCUAGAAAAAAUAGCAUUCCUGAAAAUAAUUUUCUUAAUCAUUUCAAAUCCUGGAAAGAUCAUCUGUUUACACUAUAAACUUCCAGCAACCGGGAAAACAAGCUUGUAGUUGAUGUUUAUAUCAAAUGUUCCACUAAACCCCAAAAGUAAUUUUAUCUGACUCACUCGAGUAUGCCUAGGGCAAGGAGCGAAAUUGUCUUGUCAACAAUGAAAACUCAUUUCAAAAUAGAAAGAUGCAUGAAAAGAAAUUGCAAUCACAUUGUUUCACUAAAAUAUUGCUGUUGAUUAACAAUAGAACAAAAAGGUAGUGGAAUAGGAUUCAUAUCAACCAGAAUAGCCUAGAUCAGCAAGGGGGCUUCAAAUACCACUAUGAUAGUCUUUAAAGAUGAAGUUUGAUGUGAUGAAGAACAGUACAGAUACAGGAACUUGUAUAAUUGCUCAACGAUCAUGACACUUCCUUUUCAUCAAUUUUGACAUAAAUCACAUAUAAAACCAAUCAAAGAUACAAAGAACUUCAAAUGUCUUACCCUAAAUACUUCAGCAAAAGCUGAAAGGAGGAUUUGCAAUAUGCAUUAUACUUGGAAAGAUAACCAGUUAGAAAAUGAAAAACAAAUAAAAUGAAGACGUACAGAAGGGAUGUCAGAUACAAUCUCCAACCUAUAUUACCCUCAGGGACUAGCAAGCAAUAUAAGAAUAAGGCCAGGAGUUUGGCUGCCGAUUUUUCAAAAUUUUAUAUAUUUUCCCACUAAGUGAAAGUGUCAAAGUGCCAUACCCAUGUCCAAGUAUCCUUGUUCAAUACAAGUACUUUAGGGAAAGUUAAAGAGUAGAAGUAAUUAUGCUCCAAGGAUUAAUGUGACCAACAAUAUGUACAAGAUACCUCACAAUGUUCCCAUGCUGC